UAGGGAAUCUUCGGCAAUGGACGAAAGUCUGACCGAGCAACGCCGCGUGAGUGAAGAAGGGUUUCGGAUCGUAAAACUCUGUUGUUAGAGAAGAACAAGGACGUUAGUAACUGAACGUCCCCUGACGGUAUCUAACCAGAAAGCCACGGCUAACUACGUGCCAGCAGCCGCGGUAAUACGUAGGUGGCAAGCGUUGUCCGGAUUUAUUGGGCGUAAAGCGAGCGCAGGCGGUUUCUUAAGUCUGAUGUGAAAGCCCCCGGCUCAACCGGGGAGGGUCAUUGGAAACUGGGGGACUUGAGUGCAGAAGAGGAGAGUGGAAUUCCAUGUGUAGCGGUGAAAUGCGUAGAUAUAUGGAGGAACACCAGUGGCGAAGGCGGCUCUCUGGUCUGUAACUGACGCUGAGGCUCGAAAGCGUGGGGAGCAAACAGG
This 429-nucleotide ribosomal RNA is filed under the name Gemmatimonadota bacterium. RNAcentral describes it as "Gemmatimonadetes bacterium partial 16S ribosomal RNA". It matches the Rfam family "Bacterial small subunit ribosomal RNA", at positions 355 to 776 of the family's 1533-position model. The record is from RNAcentral. Lineage: Bacteria; Pseudomonadati; Gemmatimonadota.